RNAcentral lists this transfer RNA (68 nucleotides) under Tettigonia chinensis. RNAcentral describes it as "tRNA-Pro". The record is from RNAcentral. Lineage: Eukaryota; Metazoa; Arthropoda; Insecta; Orthoptera; Tettigoniidae.
CAGAGGGUAGUUUAUAAUUAUAAAAUAUUAAUUUUGGGGAUUAAUGAUAAGAUUUUUCUUUCCUCUGA